AUGCUCCAUCAUAGAGAGCUAAAAACACAACAACCCCCAUUAUUUGGAUCAUACCUCAGUGGUCAUUCGAAACCAUCCGUCAAGUUUUUAACAUGCUGCCAUACAAUCCCUCUUUGUAGGAAACAUUUCUGGCCUAUACGUUUUGAAGAGUCUUUUAGCAACACUGACAUAAUGACUCAUCAAUGUAUUGAAUUACAUUUAUUAAAGCUUUUUAUUUUAAAAGGUAUGAUACAUUUUGUCCACCCAACACGUAUAUGUGGUAUUACUUAUCUCAUAAUAAUGAUAACAAUAAUACUAAUAUAAUAAUAAUAAUAUGAAUAAUAUAAAAGAGCCCUACUAUCUAUUAGUAAGAUUAUGUAUCAAUAUAAACUGACUUUGGAAUAGACCAUUGUUUCGCUGUCUAUUUUUAUUGUAAUUGAUUAUGUAUACAUUCUUAAAAAAAGAAAACUAAAUAUUGGCCUAAUAGGAACUUGUAUCUUAAAUAUUACAAAUGUAUCCUCCAAAAACAAAUAAUUUGAAAAAGUACAUUUUUGUAUUCUGAGCUGUUGUCUGUUAUUUUCUCUGGCUUGGCUCUACACACACUGAGAUAAACGGGCAUGUUCAUAUUUUAUUCUGUACGUCUUAAGCAAUACAUAAAUAUAUUUUUAUUCUUGGCUAAUUUUUUAUUCCUUUUUUAAACAUAAAAUGGCUGCCGCUUAAACUAGGAAAUUGCAGUAUUUACAAAAACUAAAAAUAGGUUGCUAUUCUGUUCAACAAUGUUUUAAUGUACUUUCUAUUUUAUAACUUUGCUUAAUUUUAAUGCCAGAAAAUUGCAAAAUGUCAGCUUUCCGUCCAAAAUAAUACAUACUUUGGCCUUUAAAAACUAACAUCAGCACAGCUGUAUUAAUGUUUAAUUUUACAUUUAUUUUGUUUGAGCUUAAAUAUAUUUUGCAUUACACUUUUCAAUAUGAAUCAUACAAACAAGCUCUUUUCCGACUCUGCAUUCCCACUUCAGAUUAAUACAAAUGAUGACAUUAUCUGUGUGUGUGUGUCUUUUGUUGCUGUGUGGGGACCGUCAGGGGUUAAAAGGCUAAACGGCACGGAUCAUUGUUCUCUGUGAAAGGCUCCUUUGACGAACCCCACAGGGACGAGUACACAUACACACACUGACAAAAGGCAGCAGCACUCUGGAUCCUAUUAACAACCACACGGACUGGAUGGAGGGCGUGUGUGUGUAAGUGCAAAUAAAAGCAGCCCGCCGGCAGCCCCGCGCAUUUAAAUGGGUGCCACUUGCCAGUCGUUUUAAGGCAGGUGCCCUGAUCGCACACUAGUCUCACACAAACACAGGCGCAGGAAGACGCAGUGACAAAAUGUCCUCCACGGCUCGCCGAUAACAUCUGAAAGGGACAGCAGUGUUCCUGAUUUGCUGGAACAGCUCGGUGUGAGUCUGCGGGUGCAGUUUACGUUUCCAAAUAGAGGUGACAUUGUCUUUGUUGCUACCGGGAUACGUGUGACCACGACAUGUACAAUGACAGUGGAGGGGGGGGGGGGGCAGGAUCAGUGGAAACGCAGGGAGGGAGUGAUGUUCCACCUCAUCUACUCCCACUCAUGCGUCGCGUGAAACGCCCUGACUUUGCUCUUCCUCUUCUCUCUCCAUCCCGAGUCUUUGUGUGUAACCAGAAUGGCUUUGACCCACCAUGUUGGGCAGGUAGGGAACGUGGAUAAUAUUACAACGCAUGGCCUGUGUCAUUUUCUAUUACAUAAAGACAUAAUAAUAAUGUAAUACAAUGGAUACAGAUUAUCCAGAAAUGGAGCAAAGUUUGCAAUGGCCUUGUGAACAGCACACUACAAACCACCUCAGCAGCUACAAGCAAUGGAUUUAUAAAGACAAGGUCUUUCAUUCAUAAGAGGAACAGCAAAGCAAGACAGAGAACAGAAAGAAUGUAAAUCCUCAUUUAAAAUCAGGGCGGCAUCCUUUGGUUAGUUAUAAUGACUAUAGCUGUUUGUAUUGACCCCUUGUUGGUAUGCAGUGUCGUUUUAAGAAGACAAACACAGAUUUGUGGAUGUCGGGUCGGGUGGAAGCGGAAGGCUGGCCGUGUUUUGGGGUGAGGUUUGCGGGCACCAUGUUGUUUUUCAGCUCCUCUGCAAGCAGGACACGCCUUCUGUGGGCUCCUGGUUCUGCUGCAGCACCCUUCAUGGCAUUACAUCACCCAGCUAGAGAGCAGCCC
Molecule: long non-coding RNA, 2207 nt
Organism: Gasterosteus aculeatus (three-spined stickleback)
Lineage: Eukaryota; Metazoa; Chordata; Actinopteri; Perciformes; Gasterosteidae
Source: Ensembl